This 111-nucleotide ribosomal RNA is filed under the name Gibbsiella quercinecans. RNAcentral also lists the same sequence under 1 other name. Lineage: Bacteria; Pseudomonadati; Pseudomonadota; Gammaproteobacteria; Enterobacterales; Yersiniaceae. The record is from RNAcentral.
UGGCGGCGAUAGCGCGGUGGUCCCACCUGACCCCAUGCCGAACUCAGAAGUGAAACGCCGUAGCGCCGAUGGUAGUGUGGGGUCUCCCCAUGCGAGAGUAGGACACUGCCA